Molecule: ribosomal RNA, 253 nt
Filed under: uncultured bacterium
Lineage: Bacteria
Description: partial 16S ribosomal RNA
Rfam family: Bacterial small subunit ribosomal RNA
Source: RNAcentral
GACAGAGGGUGCGAGCGUUGUCCGGAAUCACUGGGCGUAAAGGGCGCGUAGGCGGCUUGAUAAGGUUGCGGUGAAAGCCCGGGGCUCAACCCCGGGUCGGCCGUGGCAACUGUCGAGCUGGAGCACUGUAGAGGCAGGUGGAAUUCCGGGUGUAGCGGUGGAAUGCGUAGAGAUCCGGAAGAACACCGGUGGCGAAGGCGGCCUGCUGGGCAGUGGCUGACGCUGAGGCGCGACAGCGUGGGGAGCAAACAGG